Hevea brasiliensis (rubber tree) is the source of this 1467-nucleotide long non-coding RNA. RefSeq lists it as uncharacterized. NCBI's taxonomy places the organism in Eukaryota, Viridiplantae, Streptophyta, Magnoliopsida, Malpighiales, Euphorbiaceae. The transcript is spliced from 3 exons. The record is from RefSeq and is a predicted model, not a curated record.
UCAGCCAUUUAAGUCUUACUAUAUAUACAUUUAUUUAAGCCUAACCCUACCCUCAUCGUGCUCAUCUCCUCCUCCUCCUUUCUGCCGAUUGUGGAGGUCUUAUCUGCUUCCUCCUUUCCAUUUUUUUUGUCUCCAGCAAGCCCUUGUAGACCCUUUCGAUUUCUUCCCCAUCUCUAGAUUUCUUUGAUUUAAAGCCUCUUUAUUUUUUUUUUGUUUAUUUAUGUAGCUUUCAAUAUCCUUUCCAUCGACCACCACUCUCCUCUCAUCUGCUUGUACUUUCUCUCCUAAUUGGCCAGCGCUCUUCUCUGUGAUUUUGGGAGUUCUUAUGGUAUCAAUAUCAGCAACAUUCUCCUUUCGCAUAAGCAAGUCACAGGUAGCAGAGAGUAGUUGAAGAUUUGCAGCACUCAAAGGAGCUAGCUGAAGAUGCAAUCCAAAGGCUAUUUGGCAGGCUGGAGUGAGCCACAAAAUCAAUCGUCUAGUUAGGUAUAUCAUUCUAGUAAAUUUGAGUUGUCUUUACAAUUUUAGAUCUCUAUAUAAAAUGUAUGAUUUUAGCAGUAAUUUUAAUGGUUUAAUUGUGAUUGUUUAGUCUAUAUUAAUGUAACUGAGUUGUAGAAAUAAUACUUAGUUGUUGGAUUUUGAAAGGGUUUUCAUUGAAAUUUUGAAAUUUAUUUAUGUAUUUCAUGAUUGAACAUGUUAGAAUAUUUGUUUAUUACAUUGUUAAAUCUCCUUCUCUCAUUUGUAAUUUUCGAUGCAAAGAGAGAUUUUGAUUUAUGUGUUGUUUGUAGAGGAAAAGAUAGGGAGAGGGAGAGAUUUUUUUUAUUAAUAAUUUUUUUAUCAGCAUUAAGUCCAAUUUUGAAAUAUUUUAUUACAGUAUCGAGUUGUAGAAAUAAUUCCGAUGCUCAUCUCCUUCAGCACAACAAAAUACCCAUCUCAUUCCCAGCAUAUGUUUGAGAAUAGCAUUUGCUAUUGAAUCCAUACUCAAAGCUUGUAAAUCAAAUUGUGUUGAUCUUAGUCCCAAGCUUCAGAUGGUUUCUUGACCUGCAUAUUUAAAUGGGUAGCUUGGAACUCAUAUCAAGAUCUUUACCAUUUGCUACUCCAAGCAUUUAAUGAGUUGAAGAGGCUCUCAAGAAAUGCAUUUGAAGCACUGAGGAGGGAGGCCAAUUUGAGCACUGUCCAUGGAUUCAACAAAGUUAAGCUUCUUGUUGUAACUUAAAGCUUGCUUGCUAUCAGUUCAGAUAUCUUGGGUUUUCAAUUGUACCAGGGUAAUUAGCAAAGCUGCUGGUUCAUAGUUAUUUCCUCUUGAAUCUUAGGUUUGGAUCUAUUCAGAAUCAUAGUUGUGUUCUGCAGUAGUUUUUUUGGGUCUUUGGUUAUGCUGCUUGAGUGGGAGCUUCUGCUACUAUUUAUAUUUUGGUUUGGUUUGGUUAUUUUUUAUUAUUAUUUUUUUUAAUUCAAUGGAGUUGGCAGUAA